This 165-nucleotide ribosomal RNA is filed under the name Adina fagifolia. Its description in RNAcentral is "Adinauclea fagifolia 5.8S ribosomal RNA". It matches the Rfam family "5.8S ribosomal RNA". Rfam says of the family: 5.8S ribosomal RNA (5.8S rRNA) is a component of the large subunit of the eukaryotic ribosome. It is transcribed by RNA polymerase I as part of the 45S precursor that also contains 18S and 28S rRNA. The record is from RNAcentral. Lineage: Eukaryota; Viridiplantae; Streptophyta; Magnoliopsida; Gentianales; Rubiaceae.
CCAAACGACUCUUGGCAAUGGAUGUCUUGGCUCUCGCAUCGAUGAAGAACGAAGCGAAAUGCGAUACUUGGUGUGAAUUGCAAAAUCCCAUGAACCAUUGAGUCUUUGAACACAAGUUGCGCCUGAAGCCAUCAGGCUGGGGGCACGUUUGCCUAGGCGUCACGU